This is a long non-coding RNA of Dinoponera quadriceps, 397 nucleotides long. RefSeq lists it as uncharacterized. The record is from RefSeq and is a predicted model, not a curated record. NCBI's taxonomy places the organism in Eukaryota, Metazoa, Arthropoda, Insecta, Hymenoptera, Formicidae. The transcript has 3 exons.
CGCGAGUAAGCAAUCAUACAGACUGCGUUCCAAAACCCAACUCGACUGGAUUUUGGAACGCAGCCCGGUGUUUCCGAAUGCAGCUUUAAAUAUCCUUUGUCUCACGGUCAGAGAAUUUCAAUCCUAUUGGUUACCUCCAGUAGAUUCUGUGCACCAAUAGUACAUCGGUACGGAGACGCUACAUUAUCAAAGUCUUUCUUUGAAGAAUCAUUUGAAGAAAAAAUUGGUUCGAAAUGCUAGGUUCAGCGGAAAGAUUCUCGGGCACCGGCCGAUGUGAGUGGAUAUGUGCAAUCAUACCCUAACGUUAUAACGGGCCCUCCCAGCUUAUUAAUUUAAAUAACGCAUUGUCAGAUUCAAUUUAUAUGAUUAAAUAAAAAUUAUCAUUUUCUUUGUUAAA